RNAcentral lists this ribosomal RNA (440 nucleotides) under uncultured bacterium. Its description in RNAcentral is "partial 16S ribosomal RNA". It matches the Rfam family "Bacterial small subunit ribosomal RNA", at positions 338 to 795 of the family's 1533-position model. The record is from RNAcentral.
CCUACGGGAGGCAGCAGUGGGGAAUAUUGCACAAUGGGGGAAACCCUGAUGCAGCGACGCCGCGUGAGUGAAGAAGUAAUUCGUUAUGUAAAGCUCUAUCAGCAGGGAAGAAAAUGACGGUACCUGAGUAAGAAGCCCCGGCUAACUACGUGCCAGCAGCCGCGGUAAUACGUAGGGGGCAAGCGUUAUCCGGAUUUGCUGGGUGUAAAGGGAGCGUAGACGGGAGUGCAAGUCUGGAGUGAAAGGCGGGGGCUCAACCCCCGGACUGCUCUGGAAACUGGACGGCUGGAGUGCGGGAGGGGCAGGCGGAAUUCCUGGUGUAGCGGUGAAAUGCGUAGAGAGCAGGAGGAACACCGGCGGCGAAGGCGGCCUGCUGGACUGCGACUGACGUUGAGGCUCGAAAGCGUGGGGAGCGAACAGGAUUAGAUACCCGGGUAGUC